Non-coding RNA from Pseudomonas batumici, 105 nucleotides. The record is from Rfam. NCBI's taxonomy places the organism in Bacteria, Pseudomonadati, Pseudomonadota, Gammaproteobacteria, Pseudomonadales, Pseudomonadaceae.
UUUCUCCGGGUUGUGUAUUUACGCCGCUGUGGUAGUGUCCGACUACGCCUCAUGUUGACGAGGCCUGUGAAAACCCCGCCUUUCGUGGCGGGGUUUUGCUUUUAU